This 439-nucleotide ribosomal RNA is filed under the name uncultured bacterium. RNAcentral describes it as "partial 16S ribosomal RNA". It matches the Rfam family "Bacterial small subunit ribosomal RNA", at positions 339 to 795 of the family's 1533-position model. The record is from RNAcentral.
CUACGGGGGGCUGCAGUGGGGAAUAUUGCACAAUGGAGGAAACUCUGAUGCAGCAACGCCGCGUGGAGGAUGACACUUUUCGGAGCGUAAACUCCUUUUAUAUAGGAAGAAGAUGACGGUACUAUAUGAAUAAGCGCCGGCUAACUCCGUGCCAGCAGCCGCGGUAAUACGGAGGGUGCAAGCGUUAAUCGGAAUUACUGGGCGUAAAGCGCGCGUAGGCGGAUUAAAAAGUCAGAAGUGAAAUCCUAUAGCUUAACUAUAGAACUGCUUCUGAAACUCUUAAUCUAGAAUAUGGGAGAGGUAGAUGGAAUUUCUGGUGUAGGGGUAAAAUCCGUAGAGAUCAGAAGGAAUACCGAUUGCGAAGGCGAUCUACUAGAACAUUAUUGACGCUGAGACGCGAAAGCGUGGGGAGCAAACAGGAUUAGAUACCCGAGUAGUC